GUGGAAGACCAGAGCAGUUUAGAGCUGAGUGUUUCCUCCCCCCAGUUAGUUUGGCUCUGAUGUGGCCCCAGCGGGCAAGGCUCUGGGAAACUCUUUCUCCUGAGGAUGAAAAGCUGACGGCAUUUCCACUGAGCAGUUCACUAAAUUGAAGCCAAAAUGGAUUUGACUCAGCAUCCAGUCAGUCAAAGUCUCGGCUACAGAGACGCUGCCACAGAGUUCUGGGAUGGUGUCGGAGCGUGAGCGUCCACCCUCACUGCUGCAGGGGUCCAGUCAACACUGUCCUGAGGAGCACAGCAGACCUCAAUGAUCUUCUGGGCCUGAAAAGACAGGAUAGGCUUGUUUUUUGCCGAGGAAUGGUUGUCUGCAUGUUUUUGCUGAUAGACUUUCUGCUAAAUUUAUACUUAAUCCCUAAGUAUUCUCUGCAGUAUCCUCAGUCAGGGGUCAUAGGAAAGUCAUCUGUUCCUGGGGAAUUCAUUCAAGACACACUGAAAAGCAGGACCUCCCCCCUCCACCACCACCCAGGCUGGGACACCCUUGAAAUCCACAACCUUUGAAUGCCUCUUUAUUCUAGAUCCACUGAUAUCCUUGUGCUGUGUCUGUCCAUCAUUCAGAUACUGGGGAGUACUGUAACCAGAUGCAAGGCGGUACUUUCUAACAAGACUCUGGAUAGGCAUUCUAUUUACUGUACCACAGUACUGGUAGCUCUACCAAAACAGAGGGCCCUUUUACUCUUUCAAUAGUUCCUUUCUCUUGCACACACACACAUACCCGCACUCACUUACACAUCCUAGGAUACGAUAUGCAGCCUUGGCUGCAGUAGAAUAUUAAACCAUGUUUUCUGUCAAUGUGAUAUAAAGAAACAAGAGGCCUCAUGUAAUUUGGAUUUUUCCAGGUAUCUAAUUUCAAUCUAACGUACUGUUGUGAAACUAAGCCAGUAAGUAUAUAUAGCUGGUCCAUUUGGGGACUUGGUUUGCUAUCUUAAUCUGUGACAAUUUCUGGUUUCCAUUCCUUGUUCAGAGAUGAUAACAGUGUGAUUUACAGGUAUAACUAACAAAUGAGAUCAAUUAAAAUGUCUAAAAGUGGCACCUGUCUGAGGAUAGGGUUGCACUAAAUGAUUCCCACAGCUUCGUUUCCUGUAGCCCCCACCAUUUGCAAGACCUCUCCACAUGCAGAGUAACAAUGAUGGGUUGUUUCCUAAUGGAUGUGAACCAAGAAAGCAGGCCUUAUCCUGUGGCCUAGAUAUAUGAUGACUAUCACUGGCUGGAGACAACAGGUGUAGUUUUCAACUUCAUUUACACAAAUGAUCCCUGUGUUUCCUAGCAUUCACUAAUAUAGCUUCUUGAAUUGCCCAAUUUGUUACAAAUUUGUACUGUCAGCUGCCUUUGUGACUGAAUUGAAUUUGUAAUGAAAUAGAAGCUACCUUUCAUUUGUGUACAUUAUUGAAUACUUUGAUAAUUACAAGAAAAACUUGAUACUUUUCAAAGAUCUCAGGUCAUGGAGAAGAGGAAAAUGGUUACUUCUGAGGAUAAAAGUAUCAAUUGGAUAAAAAACCCCAGAACAUUUUUUUACAUUUGUUCUACUAAAGCUUUGUAAAUAAAUAAUGGGCACUUGAACAAACCUUAUGAUCUCAAAGCAUCAAUUAGAUAAUACGUAGAAAUUAUGAAGGCUCAGGCAUAUUUUUAUUAGUAGGUUUGAUUACAAUUGACAUGCUGAGUUGAACUUUGUAGAUGUGCUUUCAUUAAUGUGCUCAUUCUGUGACAAUGUGAGCCAGAUUAUAUAAUGAAAGGUGAAAAUUUCUGCUCUGUGGUUUAUCUCUGAAGCCAGAAAUUAUGUCUAUGAAAUAAAUUGAUAUUAUUAGUAUACUUAAAA
Molecule: long non-coding RNA, 1869 nt
Organism: Manis javanica (Malayan pangolin)
Lineage: Eukaryota; Metazoa; Chordata; Mammalia; Pholidota; Manidae
Source: RefSeq, a predicted model, not a curated record